UACGUAGGGUGCGAGCGUUAAUCGGAAUUACUGGGCGUAAAGCGUGCGCAGGCGGUUCGUUGUGUCUGCUGUGAAAUCCCCGGGCUCAACCUUUGAAAGCCGGUGGAUACUGGAUGGCUAGAGUACGGAAGAGGCGAGUGGAAUUCCUGGUGUAGCGGUGGAAUGCGCAGAUAUCAGGAGGAACACCUAUAGCGAAGGCAGCUUGCUGGGACGUUACUGACGCUAAGGCGCGAAAGCGUGGGGAGCGAACAGG
This 253-nucleotide ribosomal RNA is filed under the name uncultured bacterium. Its description in RNAcentral is "partial 16S ribosomal RNA". It matches the Rfam family "Bacterial small subunit ribosomal RNA", at positions 524 to 776 of the family's 1533-position model. The record is from RNAcentral.